Molecule: transfer-messenger RNA, 398 nt
Filed under: human gut metagenome
Rfam family: transfer-messenger RNA
About the family: Bacterial tmRNA, also known as 10Sa RNA or SsrA, is named for its dual tRNA and mRNA-like properties. Its role is to liberate the mRNA from a stalled ribosome.
Source: RNAcentral
GGGGCUGACCGGUUUUGACAGCGCGUAGAGGUGGUGUGUAAGCAUGCAGAGCAAUGAUGGCUACGCUCUUUAAUCUGGGACAUCAAAAUUUUAAAUGGCGAAAACAACUACGCUCUCGCUGCCUGAUUGAAGUAUAGUAGAUCGGCUUAAUUUCCGCAACAGUUGCGGAAACGAGACAUCACCCGAUUGUCAUCGUCCCGAGACUAAUCGACAAGGUGGUGCAGGUAAAUCGGGAAUAGGACGGCUAAAGCCUCGUCGGCCGUCCGAAGUUUUAGAGGAUAAGCCGCCGGUUGGUUGUUGCUGGCCUGCCGACGGACGAAAACCAAGUAGCAACUAAGCAUGUAGAAAGCUCAUUAGUUCCGCGUUUGGACGAGGGUUCGACCCCCUCCAGCUCCACU